UAUCUCUGUCUCUCUGUCUCUCUGUCUCUCUGUCUCUCUGUCUCUCUCUCUCUCUCUCUCUCUCUCUCCAGAUUAUCGCUAGUAGCUCUUACUUUAUUCCAAUGCCCUUUUCAUACAACUAAAGCUGUACUGUUGCUGGCUCUGAUAUGGUUAUUUUCACCACAGAUCCAGCAACAGUGGUAUGGUGGACGUGUAACUAGGUCAGUGCAGUGCCGCUUGGCUCAGCUCUGUUUUGGCUCAGCUGGGCUCAGUAGUGUGAAAAGGGAUUCAACGGUACCAGGGUCUGACUCAGUCUUCAGUGAUACGUCUCCCCUGGUCCAGAAACCUGGAGGUGGGAGCUAGAGGAGGAUGCGGGGGGGGUCAGUCAGUUAGACAACAGUUUGAAGGUAAAAUAUGCGUGUUCCGUUUGCCAUUUGCUCUAGUGAAGCAGAAAUUAGUCAAAAUAUCAAAAGUAGGAUGAAAAAAACAUAUGUUAUUACAUAGGUCACGUAUGUUAUUACAUAGGUCACGUAUGUUAUUACAUAGGUCACGUAUGUUAUUACAUGGGUCACGUAUGUUAUUACAUGGGUCACGUAUGUUAUUACAUGGGUCACGUAUGUUAUUACAUGGGUCACGUAUGUUAUUACAUGGGUCACGUAUGUUAUUACAUGGGUCACGUAUGUUAUUACAUAGGUCACGUAUGUUAUUACAUAGGUCACGUAUGUUAUUACAUAGGUCACGUAUGUUAUUACAUAGGUCACGUAUGUUAUUACAUAGGUCACGUAUGUUAUUACAUAGGUCACGUAUGUUAUUACAUAGGUCACGUAUGUUAUUACAUAGGUCACGUAUGUCCUGAAAUUCUGUCAUUGUGAUUAGUGUGGACUAGAGGAAAGCAAUGAAUGUCUGUCUCCAUAGGAACAACACUGAUGGCCUGGGAUAGUGCCUUGCUUUGGAGAUUUACAUGGCAUGCAUGUACAGUACAGUAUAUUAUGGGACAGAUGUGGCCUUUUUGAUUAAAAUAAUAAUAUUUUAAUCCCAAUAAAACUAAACUGAGGUCAAAGGAAAGCAGUGGGUGGAUAGGACAAUUCACUAGCCUGGUCCCAGAUCUGUUUGUGGUAACUUAACCACCAUAGGACUUGGCAAGACGGUUCAAACAGAUCUGGGACCAGGCUAGAAUUUCACAACAAGGAUCUAGCAUUCCUUAAGUCAGUUCAAGUUAAACCAGAUCAUAGCAUGUGAAUAACAGGUCAUAACGUGUGAAUAACAUGUUAAUAACAGAUGGUUAUUACACUUCAAUCAGAUUGUCUGUUUGGACUCAACCCUCGAUCAGUAUGUAACCUGUAGUUGAUUGUGACGUAUGCCUGUGUCUUGUUCAAUGAACAUUUACAUUCAAAUAAUAAAUCCCUUCAUUUUUCUAUUUGAUUUGAUAAAAGAAAUAUCCAUCGAUGUAGAAUGUAAUUUCAUGGACACAGCUAGACAGCUGUUUUGAUGUGUUAGCAUGUGGUUUAAGAAGAACUAAAUAACUAUUUCAGUUUUAUAUUGAUGAAGAGAAAAAAAGAUUGUGCCAGCUUACAACGACUUGUGUUUUCUUUCGGCGAGGGAGAGUUGUCGGUAUACUUUUUUUUAAAGAGAUGUGUUACUUGUCCCUGCUUCAGAUGUUAGAUUGAACUAUUUCAGACACGGUAGCUUUGACAGUGCUGUUUAAACUCUUGUCUCUUGCACCAAAUCACUGCUUUUUAAAAAGCAAUAGCCUAGUACAUUUAAGCAAACAGUGAAUUUACAUUUUAUGUCCAUUAUUAACUUUGCUUAAAAUGUCUCCCCACACUUUUGAAGGUGUAAUAGAUAACAUUGUAAGAUUGCAUGGAUUAAGCUCAAACUACACCCAAGUUAUUUAUUGAAUGCCAAUUCAGGUCAAAAUAAAACGGACUUUGAUACAAAUUCAAAAAUCCAACGUUGGAGAAGUUAACUGUCUAUUUAACAUAGUCUUGUGCCUUGAAGUUGAAGUACUAGAAUUUAUACUGUGGUCUGUGUUUUAUAUUCUGAGUCUUGUAUUUGUCUCUUGUUGCUCUUCUGCGCUUUGAGUGUAAUUAUUUAAUUAAUUAAUAGAUUAAUAGAUUAAAUAGAUUAUAUAGAUUAAUAGAUUAUAUAGAUUAAUAGAUUAAUUAAUUAAUAAUAUAAAAUAUUUUCUCCGUUUUGAUCAUUUGCCUGCUUUUAUUUUUCAUUUAAACAAAUUGUGUUUUAGAGGAACUGAGGACUGAAACAGGCAAUAACGAAUCUGUCAUAAGACCUUGUGACAAUUUAAGAGUUUUUGGUUUUCGUAUCUUGUUUUAGCACUUUGGAAAAAAAUGUGUGUAACAUUAUUAUUAUUAUUAUUAUUAUUAUUAUUAAUCACAAAUAAUUGGUGAUCAUUAGCCUGCCUUAUUCCUUCCAACCAUGACUUUUUAUGAAAUAAUAUUUCAAUCAUGGCCAGUGUAUGAAAUACAAAAAUUUAAUAUCUGCACUUUAUUAAGUAUGUUGCCCGACAGGACACUCAUCACCCCUUUUCUAUGUAUUUUUACCUUUGUCUGAAUUAGUCAUUUUAUUUUUGAUAUUUUUCCAUUUAGUUUCAACUAGUAAUGCAAAGGGAUGGGUAGUCCUAAAUGUUAGCAAAACUAUUUUAAUGAAACAAUCACAUGUUCACGGUGUCAAGGGUGAUAUUGUAUUAUUGUUAUGCCAUUUCCAGGCCAUGUCUCUGCCUUCCUGAAACUGAAAAGCAUAGUUUGUGUCAACUUUUAUAGUAAUGUAUCUGUUUGUUUGAUUUUGCCCUAUGUAACAAACAUACUAGUAAACAACAUAUACCUA
This is a long non-coding RNA of Coregonus clupeaformis (lake whitefish), 2820 nucleotides long. RefSeq lists it as uncharacterized. The transcript is spliced from 2 exons. NCBI's taxonomy places the organism in Eukaryota, Metazoa, Chordata, Actinopteri, Salmoniformes, Salmonidae. The record is from RefSeq and is a predicted model, not a curated record.